Molecule: ribosomal RNA, 225 nt
Filed under: uncultured bacterium
Lineage: Bacteria
Description: partial 16S ribosomal RNA
Rfam family: Bacterial small subunit ribosomal RNA
Source: RNAcentral
GAUCAUGGCUCAGGAUGAACGCUAGCUACAGGCUUAACACAUGCAAGUCGAGGGGCAGCAUGGUCUUAGCUUGCUAAGGCCGAUGGCGACCGGCGCACGGGUGAGUAACACGUAUCCAACCUGCCGUCUACUCUUGGACAGCCUUCUGAAAGGAAGAUUAAUACAAGAUGGCAUCACGAGUUCACAUGCUCACAUGAUUAAAGGUAUUCCGGUAGACGAUGGGGA